This 935-nucleotide long non-coding RNA is filed under the name Salmo salar (Atlantic salmon). RNAcentral describes it as "lncRNA (ENSSSAG00000089076.1)". The record is from RNAcentral. Lineage: Eukaryota; Metazoa; Chordata; Actinopteri; Salmoniformes; Salmonidae.
CCUCUAACCACCAGGCUACCCGCCUCCUCUAACCACCAGGCUACCCGCCUCCUCUAACCACCAGGCUACCCGCCUCCUCUAACCACCAGGCUACCCGCCCCCUCUAACCACCAGGCUACCCGCCCCCUCUAACCACCAGGCUACCCGCCUCCUCUAACCACCAGGCUACCCGCCUCCUCUAACCACCAGGCUACCCGCCUCCUCUAACCACCAGGCUACCCGCCCCCUCUAACCACUUGCUGAUGAGAGUUGUUGGAUGUUGUUAGUUUACACAUAGCGUCAUACCGCCAACUUUUAUUCUGAAGGCAAAAUGCCAGGCGUCUAUGUGUAACAGUACUCUUCUUGCGUUGUCUACAAUCAAUCAUAGACACGAACUCCAACUUGUACCACCAGUCAUGGAGCUUUAUUCUGACAGGAACAGCACGGCUCACCAUCCAACUCUGCACUCAGGCACUGUACAAAAUAUACAACCCCCCCCCCACCAGACACAGGUCAAGUCUUCAGGAGAGUCAGCAGACCCUGCUGAAGGAGAACGUAGACCCAGGCUCCAUCAGGACCAGGGGAGGCAGGCAGAAUGUCCUGCCCCCAGACCCUGCUGAAGGAGAACGUAGACCCAGGCUCCAUCAGGACCAGGGGAGGCAGGCAGAAUGUCCUGCCCUCAGACCCUGCUGGAGGAGAACGUAGACCCAGGCUCCAUCAGGACCAGGGGAGGCAGGCAGAAUGUCCUGCCCUCAGACCCUGCUGGAGGAGAACGUAGACCCAGGCUCCAUCAGGACCAGGGGAGGCAGGCAGAAUGUCCUGCCCCCAGACCCUGCUGGAGGAGAACGUAGACCCAGGCUCCAUCAGGACCAGGGGAGGCAGGCAGAAUGUCCUGCCCUCAGACCCUGCUGGAGGAGAACUCAGACCCAGACUCCAUCAGGACCAGGGGAGGCAGG